CUUGGUCAUUUAGAGGAAGUAAAAGUCGUAACAAGGUCUCCGUUGGUGAACCAGCGGAGGGAUCAUUACAGAGUUAUCCAACUCCCAAACCCAUGUGAACUUAUCUCUUUGUUGCCUCGGCGCAAGCUACCCGGGACCUCGCGCCCCGGGGGGCCCGCCGGCGGACAAACCAAACUCUGUUAUCUUCGUUGAUUAUCUGAGUGUAUUAUUUAAUAAGUCAAAACUUUCAACAACGGAUCUCUUGGUUCUGGCAUCGAUGAAGAACGCAGCGAAAUGCGAUAAGUAAUGUGAAUUGCAGAAUUCAGUGAAUCAUCGAAUCUUUGAACGCACAUUGCGCCCAUUAGUAUUCUAGUGGGCAUGCCUGUUCGAGCGUCAUUUCAACCCCUAAGCACAGCUUAUUGUUGGGACUCUACGGCUUCGUAGUUCGCCAAAGACAUUGGCGGAGUGGCAGCAGUCCUCUGAGCGUAGUAAUUCUUUAUCUCGCUUUUGUUAGGCGCUGCCCCCCCGGCCGUAAAACCCCCAAUUUUUUCUGGUUGACCUCGGAUCAGGUAGGAAUACCCGCUGAACUUAAGCAUAUCAAUAAGCGGAGGA
Molecule: ribosomal RNA, 591 nt
Filed under: fungal endophyte sp. g80
Lineage: Eukaryota; Fungi
Description: eukaryotic LSU rRNA
Rfam family: 5.8S ribosomal RNA (bases 222-375)
Source: RNAcentral